RNAcentral lists this ribosomal RNA (301 nucleotides) under uncultured bacterium. RNAcentral's name for it is "partial 16S ribosomal RNA". It matches the Rfam family "Bacterial small subunit ribosomal RNA", at positions 509 to 808 of the family's 1533-position model. The record is from RNAcentral.
CAGUAGCGCGGGAAUACGAAGGGGGCUAGCGUUGCUCGGAAUGACUGGGCGUAAAGCGUGCGUAGGUGGUGGUUUAAGUCCGUUGUGAAAGCCCUGGGCUCAACCUGGGAAUUGCAGUGGAUACUGGGUCACUAGAGUGUGGUAGAGGAUAGUGGAAUUUCCGGUGUAGCAGUGAAAUGCGUAGAGAUCGGAAGGAACAUCUGUGGCGAAGGCGACUAUCUGGGCCAACACUGACACUGAGGCACGAAAGCGUGGGGAGCAAACAGGAUUAGAUACCCGGGUAGUCCCUGUCUCUUAUACC